GAUGAACGCUGACAGAAUGCUUAACACAUGCAAGUCUACUUGAUCCUUCGGGUGAAGGUGGCGGACGGGUGAGUAACGCGUAAAGAACUUGCCUUACAGACUGGGACAACAUUUGGAAACGAAUGCUAAUACCGGAUAUUAUGACUGAGUCGCAUGAUUUAGUUAUGAAGGCUAUAUGCGCUGUGAGAGAGCUUUGCGUCCCAUUAGUUAGUUGGUGAGGUAACGGCUCACCAAGACGAUGAUGGGUAGCCGGCCUGAGAGGGUGAACGGCCACAAGGGGACUGAGACACGGCCCUUACUCCUACGGGAGGCAGCAGUGGGGAAUAUUGGACAAUGGACCAAAAGUCUGACCCAGCAAUUCUGUGUGCACGAUGAAGUUUUUCGGAAUGUAAAGUGCUUUCAGUUGGGAAGAAGUUAGUGACGGUACCAACAGAAGAAGCGACGGCUAAAUACGUGCCAGCAGCCGCGGUAAUACGUAUGUCGCAAGCGUUAUCCGGAUUUAUUGGGCGUAAAGCGCGUCUAGGCGGUUUAGUAAGUCUGAUGUGAAAAUGCGGGGCUCAACCCCGUAUUGCGUUGGAAACUGCUAAACUAGAGUACUGGAGAGGUAGGCGGAACUACAAGUGUAGAGGUGAAAUUCGUAGAUAUUUGUAGGAAUGCCGAUGGGGAAGCCAGCCUACUGGACAGAUACUGACGCUAAAGCGCGAAAGCGUGGGUAGCAAACAGG
Molecule: ribosomal RNA, 724 nt
Filed under: uncultured bacterium
Lineage: Bacteria
Description: bacterial SSU rRNA
Rfam family: Bacterial small subunit ribosomal RNA
Source: RNAcentral